UUAAGCGACUAAGCGUACACGGUGGAUGCCCUGGCAGUCAGAGGCGAUGAAGGACGUGCUAAUCUGCGAUAAGCGUCGGUAAGGUGAUAUGAACCGUUAUAACCGGCGAUUUCCGAAUGGGGAAACCCAGUGUGUUUCGACACACUAUCAUUAACUGAAUCCAUAGGUUAAUGAGGCGAACCGGGGGAACUGAAACAUCUAAGUACCCCGAGGAAAAGAAAUCAACCGAGAUUCCCCCAGUAGCGGCGAGCGAACGGGGAGCAGCCCAGAGCCUGAAUCAGUGUGUGUGUUAGUGGAAGCGUCUGGAAAGGCGCGCGAUACAGGGUGACAGCCCCGUACACAAAAAUGCACAUAUUGUGAGCUCGAUGAGUAGGGCGGGACACGUGGUAUCCUGUCUGAAUAUGGGGGGACCAUCCUCCAAGGCUAAAUACUCCUGACUGACCGAUAGUGAACCAGUACCGUGAGGGAAAGGCGAAAAGAACCCCGGCGAGGGGAGUGAAAAAGAACCUGAAACCGUGUACGUACAAGCAGUGGGAGCACGCUUAGGCGUGUGACUGCGUACCUUUUGUAUAAUGGGUCAGCGACUUAUAUUCUGUAGCAAGGUUAACCGAAUAGGGGAGCCGAAGGGAAACCGAGUCUUAACUGGGCGUUAAGUUGCAGGGUAUAGACCCGAAACCCGGUGAUCUAGCCAUGGGCAGGUUGAAGGUUGGGUAACACUAACUGGAGGACCGAACCGACUAAUGUUGAAAAAUUAGCGGAUGACUUGUGGCUGGGGGUGAAAGGCCAAUCAAACCGGGAGAUAGCUGGUUCUCCCCGAAAGCUAUUUAGGUAGCGCCUCGUGAAUUCAUCUCCGGGGGUAGAGCACUGUUUCGGCAAGGGGGUCAUCCCGACUUACCAACCCGAUGCAAACUGCGAAUACCGGAGAAUGUUAUCACGGGAGACACACGGCGGGUGCUAACGUCCGUCGUGAAGAGGGAAACAACCCAGACCGCCAGCUAAGGUCCCAAAGUCAUGGUUAAGUGGGAAACGAUGUGGGAAGGCCCAGACAGCCAGGAUGUUGGCUUAGAAGCAGCCAUCAUUUAAAGAAAGCGUAAUAGCUCACUGGUCGAGUCGGCCUGCGCGGAAGAUGUAACGGGGCUAAACCAUGCACCGAAGCUGCGGCAGCGACGCUGAUGCGUUGUUGGGUAGGGGAGCGUUCUGUAAGCCUGUGAAGGUGUGCUGUGAGGCAUGCUGGAGGUAUCAGAAGUGCGAAUGCUGACAUAAGUAACGAUAAAGCGGGUGAAAAGCCCGCUCGCCGGAAGACCAAGGGUUCCUGUCCAACGUUAAUCGGGGCAGGGUGAGUCGACCCCUAAGGCGAGGCCGAAAGGCGUAGUCGAUGGGAAACAGGUUAAUAUUCCUGUACUUGGUGUUACUGCGAAGGGGGGACGGAGAAGGCUAUGUUGGCCGGGCGACGGUUGUCCCGGUUUAAGCGUGUAGGCUGGUUUUCCAGGCAAAUCCGGAAAAUCAAGGCUGAGGCGUGAUGACGAGGCACUACGGUGCUGAAGCAACAAAUGCCCUGCUUCCAGGAAAAGCCUCUAAGCAUCAGGUAACAUCAAAUCGUACCCCAAACCGACACAGGUGGUCAGGUAGAGAAUACCAAGGCGCUUGAGAGAACUCGGGUGAAGGAACUAGGCAAAAUGGUGCCGUAACUUCGGGAGAAGGCACGCUGAUAUGUAGGUGAAGUCCCUUGCGGAUGGAGCUGAAAUCAGUCGAAGAUACCAGCUGGCUGCAACUGUUUAUUAAAAACACAGCACUGUGCAAACACGAAAGUGGACGUAUACGGUGUGACGCCUGCCCGGUGCCGGAAGGUUAAUUGAUGGGGUUAGCGCAAGCGAAGCUCUUGAUCGAAGCCCCGGUAAACGGCGGCCGUAACUAUAACGGUCCUAAGGUAGCGAAAUUCCUUGUCGGGUAAGUUCCGACCUGCACGAAUGGCGUAAUGAUGGCCAGGCUGUCUCCACCCGAGACUCAGUGAAAUUGAACUCGCUGUGAAGAUGCAGUGUACCCGCGGCAAGACGGAAAGACCCCGUGAACCUUUACUAUAGCUUGACACUGAACAUUGAGCCUUGAUGUGUAGGAUAGGUGGGAGGCUUAGAAGUGUGGACGCCAGUCUGCAUGGAGCCGACCUUGAAAUACCACCCUUUAAUGUUUGAUGUUCUAACGUUGACCCGUAAUCCGGGUUGCGGACAGUGUCUGGUGGGUAGUUUGACUGGGGCGGUCUCCUCCUAAAGAGUAACGGAGGAGCACGAAGGUUGGCUAAUCCUGGUCGGACAUCAGGAGGUUAGUGCAAUGGCAUAAGCCAGCUUGACUGCGAGCGUGACGGCGCGAGCAGGUGCGAAAGCAGGUCAUAGUGAUCCGGUGGUUCUGAAUGGAAGGGCCAUCGCUCAACGGAUAAAAGGUACUCCGGGGAUAACAGGCUGAUACCGCCCAAGAGUUCAUAUCGACGGCGGUGUUUGGCACCUCGAUGUCGGCUCAUCACAUCCUGGGGCUGAAGUAGGUCCCAAGGGUAUGGCUGUUCGCCAUUUAAAGUGGUACGCGAGCUGGGUUUAGAACGUCGUGAGACAGUUCGGUCCCUAUCUGCCGUGGGCGCUGGAGAACUGAGGGGGGCUGCUCCUAGUACGAGAGGACCGGAGUGGACGCAUCACUGGUGUUCGGGUUGUCAUGCCAAUGGCACUGCCCGGUAGCUAAAUGCGGAAGAGAUAAGUGCUGAAAGCAUCUAAGCACGAAACUUGCCCCGAGAUGAGUUCUCCCUGACUCCUUGAGAGUCCUGAAGGAACGUUGAAGACGACGACGUUGAUAGGCCGGGUGUGUAAGCGCAGCGAUGCGUUGAGCUAACCGGUACUAAUGAACCGUGAGGCUUAACCUU
Molecule: ribosomal RNA, 2902 nt
Filed under: Escherichia coli
Lineage: Bacteria; Pseudomonadati; Pseudomonadota; Gammaproteobacteria; Enterobacterales; Enterobacteriaceae
Description: bacterial LSU rRNA
Rfam family: Bacterial large subunit ribosomal RNA
Source: RNAcentral